RNAcentral lists this ribosomal RNA (492 nucleotides) under uncultured bacterium. Its description in RNAcentral is "partial 16S ribosomal RNA". It matches the Rfam family "Bacterial small subunit ribosomal RNA", at positions 29 to 507 of the family's 1533-position model. The record is from RNAcentral.
AGUGAACGCUGGCGGUAGGCCUAACACAUGCAAGUCGAACGGCAGCACAGUAAGAGCUUGCUCUUACGGGUGGCGAGUGGCGGACGGGUGAGGAAUACAUCGGAAUCUACUUUUUCGUGGGGGAUAACGUAGGGAAACUUACGCUAAUACCGCAUACGACCUACGGGUGAAAGCAGGGGAUCUUCGGACCUUGCCCGAUUGAAAGAGCCGAUGUCGGAUUAGCUAGUUGGCGGGGUAAAGGCCCACCAAGGCGACGAUCCGUAGCUGGUCUGAGAGGAUGAUCAGCCACACUGGAACUGAGACACGGUCCAGACUCCUACGGGAGGCAGCAGUGGGGAAUAUUGGACAAUGGGCGCAAGCCUGAUCCAGCCAUACCGCGUGGGUGAAGAAGGCCUUCGGGUUGUAAAGCCCUUUUGUUGGGAAAGAAAAGCAGCAGGUUAAUACCCCGCUGUUCUGACGGUACCCAAAGAAUAAGCACCGGCUAACUUCGUG